This 1440-nucleotide ribosomal RNA is filed under the name uncultured bacterium. RNAcentral describes it as "bacterial SSU rRNA". It matches the Rfam family "Bacterial small subunit ribosomal RNA". The record is from RNAcentral.
AGGGUUUGAUCAUGGCUCAGAACGUACGCUGGCGGCACGCCUAACACAUGCAAGUCGAACGAAGUAGCAAUACUUAGUGGCAGACGGGUGAGUAACAUGUAGGUAUCUACCCUUUGGCCUGGAAUAACACGAGGAAACUUGUGCUAAUACCGGAUAAGUCUUUACAGAGAAAGCUUUAUGCACCAUUGGAUGAGCCUGCACUUGAUUAGUUUGUUGGUGGGGUAAAGGCCUACCAAGACUUUGAUCAAUAGCUGAUUUGAGAGGAUGAUCAGCCACAUUGGGACUGAGACACGGCCCAAACUCCUACGGGAGGCAGCAGUGGGGAAUCUUGCACAAUGGAGGAAACUCUGAUGCAGCGAUGCCGCGUGAGUGAAGAAGGCCUUUGGGUUGUAAAGCUCUUUCGUCGGGGAAGAAAAUGACUGUACCCGAAUAAGAAGGUCCGGCUAACUUCGUGCCAGCAGCCGCGGUAAUACGAAGGGACCUAGCGUAGUUCGGAAUUACUGGGCUUAAAGAGUUCGUAGGUGGUUGAAAAAGUUGGUGGUGAAAUCCCAGAGCUUAACUCUGGAACUGCCAUCAAAACUUUUCAGCUAGAGUUUGAUAGAGGAAAGCAGAAUUUCUAGUGUAGAGGUGAAAUUCGUAGAUAUUAGAAAGAAUACCAAUUGCGAAGGCAGCUUUCUGGAUCAUUACUGACACUGAGGAACGAAAGCAUGGGUAGCGAAGAGGAUUAGAUACCCUCGUAGUCCAUGCCGUAAACGAUGUGUGUUAGACGUUGGAAAUUUAUUUUUCAGUGUCGCAGCGAAAGCGAUAAACACACCGCCUGGGGAGUACGACCGCAAGGUUAAAACUCAAAUGAAUUGACGGGGACCCGCACAAGUAGUGGAGCAUGUGGUUUAAUUCGAAGAUACGCGCAGAACCUUACCAACACUUGACAUGUUCGUCGCGACUUUAAGAGAUUAAAGUUUUCGGUUCGGCCGGACGAAACACAGGUGCUGCAUGGCUGUCGUCAGCUCGUGUCGUGAGAUGUUGGGUUAAGUCCCGCAACGAGCGCAACCCUCACUUUUAGUUGCCAUCAUUAAGUUGGGCACUCUGAAAGAACUGCCAGUGAUAAGCUGGAGGAAGGUGGGGAUGACGUCAAGUCCUCAUGGCCCUUACGUGUUGGGCUACACACGUGCUACAAUGGUAUUUACAAAAGGAAGCAAAACGGCGACGUUUAGCAAAUCCUAAAAAAAUACCUCAGUUCGGAUUGCACUCUGCAACUCGAGUGCAUGAAGCUGGAAUUACUAGUAAUCGUGGAUCAGCGUGCCACGGUGAAUGCGUUCCCGGGUCUUGUACACACCGCCCGUCACACCAUGGGAGUUGGUUCUACCUUAAGGCAAGGUUUAAAACCCUUGACCACGGUAUAGUCAGCGACUGGGGUGAAGUCGUAACAAGGUAGCCGUA